Molecule: small nucleolar RNA, 204 nt
Organism: Cynocephalus volans (Philippine flying lemur)
Lineage: Eukaryota; Metazoa; Chordata; Mammalia; Dermoptera; Cynocephalidae
Product: small nucleolar RNA SNORA74
Exons: 1
Source: RefSeq, a predicted model, not a curated record
UCCAGCAGUAGUCAACUGUCUGCACAGAACCAUUCCUGUGAUGGUGUUACACUGCCGGGAGAGGAAUGUCUUGUUUUCUUCUUCCGGUUGCCUUCGUCACUGUUCUGAUGGUGUCUGGCAUCAGUGCAAGGAAGAACUGAGCUUCCUUGAGGGUAUGCUAAGCGUUCACUUUGGCUGUUUGGCUCUAGUCUGGGAGCAGACAUA